RNAcentral lists this ribosomal RNA (234 nucleotides) under uncultured bacterium. Its description in RNAcentral is "partial 16S ribosomal RNA". It matches the Rfam family "Bacterial small subunit ribosomal RNA", at positions 29 to 243 of the family's 1533-position model. The record is from RNAcentral.
AACGAACGUUGGCGGCGUGGAUUAGGCAUGCAAGUCGUACGCGAAAGAGGGGGCAACUCCUCGAGUAAAGUGGCGAACGGGUGAGUAACGCGUAGGAAACCUGCCUUCGAGAUGGGGAGUAACACUCCUAACGGGUGGCUAAUACCGAAUGACACUGCGGGAUCGCAUGGUUCUGCAGUCAAAGGUGGCCUCUGCUUGCAAGCUACCACUCAAAGAUGGUCCUGCGUCCCANAG